CCCUUAGAUGUUCUGGGCCGCACGCGUGCUACACUGAGUGGAUCAGCGGGUCAGGUUGCGCGAAAGCGUUUCCUAAUCUUUAAAUCCGCUCGUGAUGGGGAUUGACGGUUGCAAUUUUCUGUCAUGAACGAGGAAUACCUUGUAAGCGCGGGUCAUCAUCCCGCGCUGAAUACGUCCCUGCCCUUUAUACACACCGCCCGUCGCUCCUACCGAUUGAGUGGUCCGGUGAGGCUUUGGGAUCUGAGCGGAAAGAGCGUUUCGCUGUUUCUGCUCGGAAAACUCAGUCGAACCUUAUCAUUUAGAGGAAGGAGAAGUCGUAACA
This 322-nucleotide ribosomal RNA is filed under the name uncultured eukaryote. RNAcentral describes it as "partial 18S ribosomal RNA". It matches the Rfam family "Eukaryotic small subunit ribosomal RNA", at positions 1470 to 1796 of the family's 1831-position model. The record is from RNAcentral.